AGCGAACGCUGGCGGCAGGCCUAACACAUGCAAGUCGAACGAACUCUUCGGAGUUAGUGGCGGACGGGUGAGUAACACGUGGGAACGUGCCUUUAGGUUCGGAAUAACUCAGGGAAACUUGUGCUAAUACCGAAUGUGCCCUUCGGGUGAAAGAUUUAUCGCCUUUAGAGCGGCCCGCGUCUGAUUAGCUAGUUGGUGAGGUAAAGGCUCACCAAGGCGACGAUCAGUAGCUGGUCUGAGAGGAUGAUCAGCCACAUUGGGACUGAGACACGGCCCAAACUCCUACGGGAGGCAGCAGUGGGGAAUCUUGCGCAAUGGGCGAAAGCCUGACGCAGCCAUGCCGCGUGAAUGAUGAAGGUCUUAGGAUUGUAAAAUUCUUUCACCGGGGACGAUAAUGACGGUACCCGGAGAAGAAGCCCCGGCUAACUUCGUG
This 433-nucleotide ribosomal RNA is filed under the name uncultured bacterium. RNAcentral describes it as "partial 16S ribosomal RNA". It matches the Rfam family "Bacterial small subunit ribosomal RNA", at positions 29 to 507 of the family's 1533-position model. The record is from RNAcentral.